Molecule: ribosomal RNA, 278 nt
Filed under: uncultured bacterium
Lineage: Bacteria
Description: partial 16S ribosomal RNA
Rfam family: Bacterial small subunit ribosomal RNA
Source: RNAcentral
AAUCAACGCUGGCGGCGUGCCUCAGACAUGCAAGUCGAACGAUUAAAGCUCUCUUCGGAGAGUGUAUAGAGUGGCGCACGGGUGAGUAACACGUAAGUAAUCUACCUUUGAGUGGGGAAUAACAAUCGGAAACGAUUGCUAAUACCGCAUAAUGCAGCGGCAUCGCAAAGAUGACAGUUGUUAAAGGAGCAAUCCCGCUUAAAGAGGAGCUUGCGGCAGGAUUAGCUAGUUGGUAAGGUAAUGGCUUACCAAGGCUACGAUCUGUAACCGGUCUAAGA